CCAAAUGACGACCAGUUCCGACCAGUUCCCUCGGUCUCCAGCAGCCGCAGCUCCAUCUCAGCACCGGAACUCCCCGGAUGCCGGUCAAAGCUGGGCUUGGUUUCCGGCUUGGUCUACAAGCGUAAUCCGGUGACUUCUAACCUUUGUUAUUUCAUUCUUUAUUCUGCAUUCUUUAAUUCUUCGUAUUAUGCUAGUAGUAGCCCCUGUACCUUGACUUGCGUGGGAUUUGUGGAUAUUGCCUGUUGUCUAUUGUUGCUGUUGCUGUGGUCGUUUCUUGCACUGCUUGGAUUGGGUUAUCGGCUUGGGAAUCUGUGUUUGGGGCUGUGGGUGUUGAGUCCAGUGGUGUUUGCCCCCUAAUUGAGUAUAGUU
Molecule: long non-coding RNA, 369 nt
Filed under: Capsicum annuum
Lineage: Eukaryota; Viridiplantae; Streptophyta; Magnoliopsida; Solanales; Solanaceae
Description: long non-coding RNA (CANN_LNC004880)
Source: RNAcentral